GGGACCCCGCCGGGGACGAAGGCUCUGGGCUCCGGCGAUCUUGGAGGGGCGGCCCCGGGGUGCGCAGCAUCAGUCUGGAGGGACUGGGGAAGCGGGGAGGGGAACACGAUCCAGAGGGCUCAAGAGGGACCCAGCCGGGCUGGGAAGCGGGGGGCGGCGCAGCCAGCGUAGAGGGGAAGACCCAGAGCGCGCAGCGACAGUCCCCGUUUGGGACAGGAGCUGAAGACAGCCCUUGUGGCCCUCCCGGGAGACGGAGGUCGUGGGUCGACCUCUUACAGCACCGUUUUAGAAGUGUUUGUUCCUAACCUGUGGAAGACACGGAAGAGGAGAACACCCUGGUGGUUGGGACACUAUUCCCUCAAUUAAAAAAUUAAAAAUAAAAAAAUGCUGCGCAA
Long non-coding RNA from Mesocricetus auratus (golden hamster), 395 nucleotides. RefSeq lists it as uncharacterized. NCBI's taxonomy places the organism in Eukaryota, Metazoa, Chordata, Mammalia, Rodentia, Cricetidae. The record is from RefSeq and is a predicted model, not a curated record. The transcript has 2 exons.